AUUGAACGCUGGCGGCAGGCCUAACACAUGCAAGUCGAGCGGUAGAGAGGUGCUUGCAUCUCUUGAGAGCGGCGGACGGGUGAGUAAUGCCUAGGAAUCUGCCUAGUGGUGGGGGGAUAACGUUCGGAAACGGACGCUAAUACCGCAUACGUCCUACGGGAGAAAGCGGGGGAUCUUCGGACCUCGCGCCAUUAGAUGAGCCUAGGUCGGAUUAGCUAGUUGGUGAGGUAAUGGCUCACCAAGGCGACGAUCCGUAACUGGUCUGAGAGGAUGAUCAGUCACACUGGAACUGAGACACGGUCCAGACUCCUACGGGAGGCAGCAGUGGGGAAUAUUGGACAAUGGGCGAAAGCCUGAUCCAGCAUGCCGCGUGUGUGAAGAAGGUCUUCGGAUUGUAAAGCACUUAAGUUGGGAGGAAGGGUAGUAACCUAAUACGUUG
This 439-nucleotide ribosomal RNA is filed under the name uncultured bacterium. RNAcentral describes it as "bacterial SSU rRNA". It matches the Rfam family "Bacterial small subunit ribosomal RNA", at positions 30 to 471 of the family's 1533-position model. The record is from RNAcentral.